UCUGCUUACGACUAAAGUUGAG
This 22-nucleotide non-coding RNA is filed under the name Arabidopsis thaliana (thale cress). The record is from RNAcentral. Lineage: Eukaryota; Viridiplantae; Streptophyta; Magnoliopsida; Brassicales; Brassicaceae.